Molecule: ribosomal RNA, 442 nt
Filed under: uncultured bacterium
Lineage: Bacteria
Description: partial 16S ribosomal RNA
Rfam family: Bacterial small subunit ribosomal RNA
Source: RNAcentral
CCUACGGGGGGCUGCAGUGGGGAAUAUUGGGCAAUGGGCGCAAGCCUGACCCAGCAACGCCGCGUGAAGGAAGAAGGCUUUCGGGUUGUAAACUUCUUUUCAGAGGGAAGAGCAGAAUACAGUUCCUCUUGGAUUAGGCACGGCUAACUACGUGCCAGCAGCCGCGGUAAUACGUAGGUUGCAAACGUUUUCCGGAGUUUCUUGGUGUAAAGGGCGUGCAGCCGGGAAGAGAAGGCAGAAGUUAAAUCCCGCGGCGCAACCGGGUAACUGCAUUUGAAACUGUUUUUCGUGAGGACCGGAGAGGUCAUCGGAAUUCCUUGUGUAGCGGGGAAAUGCGUAGAUAUAAGGAAGAACACCAGUGGCGAAGGCGGAUGACUGGACGGCAACUGACGGUGAGGCGCGAAAGCGUGGGGAGCAAACAGGAUUAGAUACCCUGGUAGUC